UGUAAACAUCCCCGACUGGAAGCUGGAAACCGUAGCUUUCAGUCAGAUGUUUGCUGC
Molecule: microRNA precursor, 57 nt
Filed under: Gekko japonicus
Lineage: Eukaryota; Metazoa; Chordata; Lepidosauria; Squamata; Gekkonidae
Description: Gja-Mir-30-P1a_pre stem-loop
Rfam family: mir-30 microRNA precursor family
About the family: This family consists of the mammalian microRNA (miRNA) precursor mir-30a. Animal miRNAs are transcribed as ~70nt precursors and subsequently processed by the Dicer enzyme to give a ~22nt product.
Source: RNAcentral